This 497-nucleotide ribosomal RNA is filed under the name uncultured Desulfobulbus sp. RNAcentral describes it as "bacterial SSU rRNA". It matches the Rfam family "Bacterial small subunit ribosomal RNA", at positions 894 to 1382 of the family's 1533-position model. The record is from RNAcentral. Lineage: Bacteria; Pseudomonadati; Thermodesulfobacteriota; Desulfobulbia; Desulfobulbales; Desulfobulbaceae.
CAGAAACUACAAAGGAAGUUAGACGGGGCCCGGCACAAGCGGUGGAGUAUGUGGUUUAAUUCGAUGCAACGCGAAGAACCUUACCUGGUCUUGACAUCCCGGAGACCCUUAGGAAACUAGGGGGUGCUUCCAUCUGGAAGAAUCUGGAGACAGGUGCUGCAUGGCUGUCGUCAGCUCGUGUCGUGAGAUGUUGGGUUAAGUCCCGCAACGAGCGCAACCCUUGCCUUUAGUUGCCAGCAGUUCGGCUGGGCACUCUAAAGGGACUGCCGGUGUUAAACCGGAGGAAGGUGGGGAUGACGUCAAGUCCUCAUGGCCUUUAUGACCAGGGCUACACACGUACUACAAUGGCCGAUACAAAGGGCAGCGACACUGCGAGGUGAAGCCAAUCCCGUAAAAUCGGUCUCAGUCCGGAUUGGAGUCUGCAACUCGACUCCAUGAAGUUGGAAUCGCUAGUAAUCGUGGAUCAGCAUGCCACGGUGAAUACGUUCCCGGGCCUU